AGUGAACGCUGGCGGUAGGCCUAACACAUGCAAGUCGAACGGCAGCACAGUAAGAGCUUGCUCUUACGGGUGGCGAGUGGCGGACGGGUGAGGAAUACAUCGGAAUCUACUUUUUCGUGGGGGAUAACGUAGGGAAACUUACGCUAAUACAGCAUACGACCUACGGGUGAAAGCAGGGGAUCUUCGGACCUUGCGCGAUUGAAUGAGCCGAUGUCGGAUUAGCUAGUUGGCGGGGUAAAGGCCCACCAAGGCGACGAUCCGUAGCUGGUCUGAGAGGAUGAUCAGCCACACUGGAACUGAGACACGGUCCAGACUCCUACAGGAGGCAGCAGUGGGGAAUAUUGGACAAUGGGCGCAAGCCUGAUCCAGCCAUACCGCGUGGGUGAAGAAGGCCUUCGGGUUGUAAAGCCCUUUUGUUGGGAAAGAAAAGCAGCAGGUUAAUACCCCGCUGUUCUGACGGUACCCAAAGAAUAAGCACCGGCUAACUUCGUG
This 492-nucleotide ribosomal RNA is filed under the name uncultured bacterium. Its description in RNAcentral is "partial 16S ribosomal RNA". It matches the Rfam family "Bacterial small subunit ribosomal RNA", at positions 29 to 507 of the family's 1533-position model. The record is from RNAcentral.